AUCUUCUUUGACUUGGCUUGG
Molecule: unclassified non-coding RNA, 21 nt
Filed under: Mus musculus (house mouse)
Lineage: Eukaryota; Metazoa; Chordata; Mammalia; Rodentia; Muridae
Description: oocyte_clustered_small_RNA12044
Source: RNAcentral